GGAGGGGCGGGGGGAGGGGGGCUGGGAAAGUUGAGGCCGUGCUGCCGCCGGGUCUCCGGCCUCGAGGGCUCGGGCUCGCAGCGGCGGCGGUGGCCGCAAGGAGACGCGGCGGGGGCGGGGGGAGAGGAGGGCCCGGGCCCGCGCUCCCCCAGCCCCGCAGAAGCAGGCGGCGGCUGCCGACCCAGAGGCUCGCCUGGACGGCCAGGCACCGCUGCCUUCCGCUCCUGGGAUCAUGACCCAGGCGGGGGUCGCCGCCACUGCGGCCGGGAGCGCGUCGCCGGCGGUAAGAAGAGAACAUAACCUAUAGAGGCCGUCUUUUGGCAGAAGAUGGUAGAUUUGAACCAGAAAGAGGAGGAGUUGGAAGCUAGGAAUCCAAAGUGAAGAAACUCUGCGAGCCCUUGGGUUCCUAUUACUGCCACCAUGCCAGAAAUGACAGAGCAUGAGACGCCAAUGAAAAAACAGCACAGAAAGAAGAACCGGGAGACACACAAUGCAGGUGUGUACUGCAACCGGAAUUC
Long non-coding RNA from Alexandromys fortis (reed vole), 518 nucleotides. RefSeq lists it as uncharacterized. The transcript has 4 exons. NCBI's taxonomy places the organism in Eukaryota, Metazoa, Chordata, Mammalia, Rodentia, Cricetidae. The record is from RefSeq and is a predicted model, not a curated record.